RNAcentral lists this ribosomal RNA (253 nucleotides) under uncultured bacterium. Its description in RNAcentral is "partial 16S ribosomal RNA". It matches the Rfam family "Bacterial small subunit ribosomal RNA", at positions 524 to 776 of the family's 1533-position model. The record is from RNAcentral.
UACGAAGGGGGCUAGCGUUGUUCGGAAUUACUGGGCGUAAAGCGCGCGCAGGCGGUCUUCCAAGUCAGUGGUGAAAGCCCGGAGCUCAACUCCGGAACUGCCAUUGAAACUGUUAGACUUGAGGAUGAGAGAGGUGAGUGGAAUUCCCAGUGUAGAGGUGAAAUUCGUAGAUAUUGGGAAGAACACCGGUGGCGAAGGCGGCUCACUGGCUCAUAUCUGACGCUCAGGCGCGACAGCGUGGGGAGCAAACGGG